RNAcentral lists this small nuclear RNA (248 nucleotides) under Corvus brachyrhynchos (American crow). Its description in RNAcentral is "7SK RNA". It matches the Rfam family "7SK RNA". Rfam says of the family: 7SK was discovered as an abundant small nuclear RNA in the mid-70s but a possible function has only recently been suggested. Two independent studies have found that 7SK RNA binds the CDK9/cyclin T complex (known as elongation factor P-TEFb). P-TEFb activates transcription by phosphorylating the C-terminal domain of RNA polymerase II. The record is from Rfam by way of RNAcentral. Lineage: Eukaryota; Metazoa; Chordata; Aves; Passeriformes; Corvidae.
GGAUGUGAAGGCAAUCUAGCUGAGGCAUCUGUCACCCCACUGAUUGCCAGGGUUGGUUCUACUGCUUAGACUGGUUAGGCCAGGUGUCCCCUUCCUCCCUCAAUAGCUCCAGGUGUGUCCCUUCCAAAGCUGCACACUCAGUUGCAGAGGACAACCUCCCCAAUAGAUUUUUUUGGCUGGAAAGUUGCCCAGCAGAGAAGUACCUGAGCAUGGUGGUUCAACAGCUGGCUUAACAUGAGCCAGUGUGU